AGCUUUUUGUUGUAGCCAAGGAUGACUUGCCUAAAAUCUUGCCAUUUCAUUUCAUGUAAAAAAACUCUAACAUCAUAUCCUGCAAUAUAAUAGAAGGUAUUUAAUUUAGUUCGCUUUUGAUUUCGUAAAAUAGUCAAAAAUAUAAUGCAAAGUCUAGGCUGGUUGUCCUCGGCUACAACAGACGCUCU
MicroRNA precursor from Ipomoea nil (Japanese morning glory), 188 nucleotides. NCBI's taxonomy places the organism in Eukaryota, Viridiplantae, Streptophyta, Magnoliopsida, Solanales, Convolvulaceae. The record is from Rfam.